This 342-nucleotide ribosomal RNA is filed under the name Escherichia coli. RNAcentral describes it as "partial 23S ribosomal RNA". It matches the Rfam family "Bacterial large subunit ribosomal RNA", at positions 144 to 524 of the family's 2925-position model. RNAcentral also lists the same sequence under 1 other name. The record is from RNAcentral. Lineage: Bacteria; Pseudomonadati; Pseudomonadota; Gammaproteobacteria; Enterobacterales; Enterobacteriaceae.
CACACUAUCAUUAACUGAAUCCAUAGGUUAAUGAGGCGAACCGGGGGAACUGAAACAUCUAAGUACCCCGAGGAAAAGAAAUCAACCGAGAUUCCCCCAGUAGCGGCGAGCGAACGGGGAGGAGCCCAGAGCCUGAAUCAGUGUGUGUGUUAGUGGAAGCGUCUGGAAAGGCGCGCGAUACAGGGUGACAGCCCCGUACACAAAAAUGCACAUAUUGUGAGCUCGAUGAGUAGGGCGGGACACGUGGUAUCCUGUCUGAAUAUGGGGGGACCAUCCUCCAAGGCUAAAUACUCCUGACUGACCGAUAGUGAACCAGUACCGUGAGGGAAAGGCGAAAAGAAC